This 285-nucleotide ribosomal RNA is filed under the name uncultured bacterium. RNAcentral's name for it is "partial 16S ribosomal RNA". It matches the Rfam family "Bacterial small subunit ribosomal RNA", at positions 28 to 311 of the family's 1533-position model. The record is from RNAcentral.
GAUGAACGCUAGCGGCGGGCUUAAUACAUGCAAGUCGAGCGGUAACAGGUGUAGCAAUACAUGCUGACGAGCGGCAGACGGGUGAGGAACACGUACGCAACCUCCCUCCAACUGGGGCACAACUCCGUGAAAACGGGGCUAAUUCCCCAUAACAUUGCAAAGGGCAUCUGAUUGCAAUUAAAGAUUCGUCGGUUGGAGAUGGGCGUGCGACUGAUUAGCCAGUUGGUAGGGUAACGGCCUACCAAAGCAACGAUCAGUAGCUGGUGUGAGAGCACGACCAGCCAC